UGAGCAAUCUGCCCUUCUCUUCGGAAUAAGCGUUGGAAACGACGUCUAAUGCCGAAUACGACCUCCUUUCGCAUGAUCGGAGGUGGAAAGCUCCGGCGGAGAAGGAUGAGCUCGCGGCCUAUCAGCUAGUUGGUGUGGGUAAUGGCCCACCAAGGCGACGACGGGUAGCCGGCCUGAGAGGGUGACCGGCCACACUGGGACUGAGACACGGCUCAGACUCCUACGAGAGG
Molecule: ribosomal RNA, 230 nt
Filed under: uncultured bacterium
Lineage: Bacteria
Description: partial 16S ribosomal RNA
Rfam family: Bacterial small subunit ribosomal RNA
Source: RNAcentral